CAACAAAUUUCAGAGCAAGUUGCUUGAAAUAAUUGAUGAAGGUGAAUUGCCCGAUUUUUUGGGAGGCACUUGCACUUGUGCUGAUCAUGGAGGUUGCAUGCUUUCCGACAAGGGACCAUGGAAGGACCCAGAGAUCAUAAAAAUGGUUCAAAGUGGG
Long non-coding RNA from Hibiscus syriacus, 157 nucleotides. RefSeq lists it as uncharacterized. The transcript has 3 exons. Lineage: Eukaryota; Viridiplantae; Streptophyta; Magnoliopsida; Malvales; Malvaceae. The record is from RefSeq and is a predicted model, not a curated record.